RNAcentral lists this ribosomal RNA (253 nucleotides) under uncultured bacterium. RNAcentral describes it as "partial 16S ribosomal RNA". It matches the Rfam family "Bacterial small subunit ribosomal RNA", at positions 524 to 776 of the family's 1533-position model. The record is from RNAcentral.
UACGUAGGGUGCAAGCGUUAAUCGGAAUUACUGGGCGUAAAGCGUGCGCAGGCGGCUUUGCAAGACAGAUGUGAAAUCCCCGGGCUUAACCUGGGAACUGCAUUUGUGACUGCAUGGCUGGAGUGCGGCAGAGGGGGAUGGAAUUCCGCGUGUAGCAGUGAAAUGCGUAGAUAUGCGGAGGAACACCGAGGGCGAAGGCAAUCCCCUGGGCCUGCACUGACGCUCAUGCACGAAAGCGUGGGGAGCAAACAGG